This 425-nucleotide ribosomal RNA is filed under the name uncultured Methylosinus sp. Its description in RNAcentral is "bacterial SSU rRNA". It matches the Rfam family "Bacterial small subunit ribosomal RNA", at positions 39 to 510 of the family's 1533-position model. Lineage: Bacteria; Pseudomonadati; Pseudomonadota; Alphaproteobacteria; Hyphomicrobiales; Methylocystaceae. The record is from RNAcentral.
GCGGCAGGCUUAACACAUGCAAGUCGAACGCUGUAGCAAUACAGAGUGGCAGACGGGUGAGUAACGCGUGGGAACGUGCCUUUCGGUUCGGAAUAACUCAGGGAAACUUGAGCUAAUACCGGAUACGCCCUUCGGGGGAAAGAUUUAUUGCCGAAAGAUCGGCCCGCGUCCGAUUAGCUAGUUGGUGAGGUAACGGCUCACCAAGGCGACGAUCGGUAGCUGGUCUGAGAGGAUGAUCAGCCACACUGGGACUGAGACACGGCCCAGACUCCUACGGGAGGCAGCAGUGGGGAAUAUUGGACAAUGGGCGCAAGCCUGAUCCAGCCAUGCCGCGUGNGUGAUGAAGGCCCUAGGGUUGUAAAGCUCUUUCGCCAGGGACGAUAAUGACGGUACCUGGAUAAGAACCCCGGNCUAACUUCGUGCCA